This 631-nucleotide ribosomal RNA is filed under the name Stenotrophomonas sp. E10. RNAcentral describes it as "bacterial SSU rRNA". It matches the Rfam family "Bacterial small subunit ribosomal RNA", at positions 61 to 680 of the family's 1533-position model. Lineage: Bacteria; Pseudomonadati; Pseudomonadota; Gammaproteobacteria; Lysobacterales; Lysobacteraceae. The record is from RNAcentral.
UUCGAACGGCAGCACAGGAGAGCUUGCUCUCUGGGUGGCGAGUGGCGGACGGGUGAGGAAUACAUCGGAAUCUACUCUGUCGUGGGGGAUAACGUAGGGAAACUUACGCUAAUACCGCAUACGACCUACGGGUGAAAGCAGGGGAUCUUCGGACCUUGCGCGAUUGAAUGAGCCGAUGUCGGAUUAGCUAGUUGGCGGGGUAAAGGCCCACCAAGGCGACGAUCCGUAGCUGGUCUGAGAGGAUGAUCAGCCACACUGGAACUGAGACACGGUCCAGACUCCUACGGGAGGCAGCAGUGGGGAAUAUUGGACAAUGGGCGCAAGCCUGAUCCAGCCAUACCGCGUGGGUGAAGAAGGCCUUCGGGUUGUAAAGCCCUUUUGUUGGGAAAGAAAUCCAGCUGGCUAAUACCCGGUUGGGAUGACGGUACCCAAAGAAUAAGCACCGGCUAACUUCGUGCCAGCAGCCGCGGUAAUACGAAGGGUGCAAGCGUUACUCGGAAUUACUGGGCGUAAAGCGUGCGUAGGUGGUCGUUUAAGUCCGUUGUGAAAGCCCUGGGCUCAACCUGGGAACUGCAGUGGAUACGGGGCCACUAGAGUGUGGUCGAGGGGUACCGGAAUUCCGGGUUUUUGG